UGCGCUUGACUGACGCGGGGCUCAACUCCUAAAAUAUACGUGUAUGUGUAUGGAUCAACUGAUCUGUUGCACCACAAUUAAUCAAUGUUUUAAACUGAUUAAGAACCUGAUUAAGAAUUGUUUCUCCUAUGUUUUGCUUAUUACCAAUAUAUUGUAACCUUUAUCUUUCAGCUUGAGUUGAAUGCAAUGUAAAUCCUGCAAAUUCACCAACCUCAAUGAAGCUGUUCUCCUGAAGCACCAGGCCUACUGUCUGUAUCACAGAGGCAGGCAGAGUUCUAUCGGAUCACCACAAGAACCUACUAGACAACUUUAGAGCAGCCAUUAAUCAGCACACUCCAGGACUGCUUAGACUCUAUCGGGCUAGGAGGCCAGCUUUCCGUCUGAGAUGGAUCAACUCCUUAAGGGACUGGAUGAAGAGACCAAUGACAUCACAGCACACAGACAGGCUGCAGCCUUGAAGGGCCUUCCUUUGUAUAUCUGUGAAAGUCACGAGAAGCUGUUCAGGAGUUGUCUGGAUACUGACCCAGAAGAGGAGCAGACAAAGCCUCAUUGUGGGGAUACUUACUAUGGAGGAUGAUCAAAGUACGGCUCCGGCAAGUUGCAAAUGUAGCUGUGGUUCUAGAAGAAGACAUCGUCUUACAAGACCUCCCUGACCUGCUAACGGCCUUUGUUUUGCUCUUUGGGCUGAUAUGCCUGAAACAUUCAGUUUCCCAAGGAACUGAGGUACACCUUCGAAACAUUUCAGAAGGUGUUAACUAAUCUAACCUUGCUGUCCUUACUAAGUAUUUAAGUAAAAAAAUUAGAAUGUUAACUGACAUCCACAACUACUACUGUUCAGUAGGGGUGCACGAUUCAGAAAAUGUCACGAUUCAAUAUCGAUUUUCGUAGGGCUGUGUUUGAUUGAAGAA
Long non-coding RNA from Perca flavescens (yellow perch), 908 nucleotides. RefSeq lists it as uncharacterized. The transcript has 3 exons. The record is from RefSeq and is a predicted model, not a curated record. Lineage: Eukaryota; Metazoa; Chordata; Actinopteri; Perciformes; Percidae.